GAUGAACGCUGGCGGCGUGCCUAAUACAUGCAAGUCGAGCGAACAGAUGAGGAGCUUGCUCCUCUGACGUUAGCGGCGGACGGGUGAGUAACACGUGGAUAACCUACCUAUAAGACUGGGAUAACUUCGGGAAACCGGAGCUAAUACCGGAUAAUAUAUUGAACCGCAUGGUUCAAUAGUGAAAGACGGUUUUGCUGUCACUUAUAGAUGGAUCCGCGCCGCAUUAGCUAGUUGGUAAGGUAACGGCUUACCAAGGCAACGAUGCGUAGCCGACCUGAGAGGGUGAUCGGCCACACUGGAACUGAGACACGGUCCAGACUCCUACGGGAGGCAGCAGUAGGGAAUCUUCCGCAAUGGGCGAAAGCCUGACGGAGCAACGCCGCGUGAGUGAUGAAGGUCUUCGGAUCGUAAAACUCUGUUUUUAGGGAAGAACAAAUGUGUAAGUAACUAUGCACGUCUUGACGGUACCUAAUCAGAAAGCCACGGCUAACUACGUG
RNAcentral lists this ribosomal RNA (497 nucleotides) under uncultured bacterium. RNAcentral describes it as "partial 16S ribosomal RNA". It matches the Rfam family "Bacterial small subunit ribosomal RNA", at positions 28 to 507 of the family's 1533-position model. The record is from RNAcentral.